AAAUAUGCAUCGCCUCGUGUUAAACUUUAAUUUCCCACUUUGAGGCUUCAUAUUUUUCAGUUCCCACAAGCCGCAUCGCCCGGGAGGGAAUUCGACUCAAGCCCCCAAGAGCCGGAGGAAAAGCCAGACCUACGGACUUGGUGAAGGGGAGGGGGACCCUGGAAGCACCUCCCGUGGGAUUGGCACAAGCUGUCAGAGCCCAGAGGGGCUGGAAGAAUGGACUGGGCCGGACACCUCCCUGGGCCCCUGGGUGCACAAGCAGAUAAGCAGCCCAAGGCACACUCCCAGACAUAACCAGCUGGUCGAUCCCUGCUGAGGGCUCCGUGGGGUACCCUUCUCAUGCCAACCUCAAUAUCGAUUGGACUGACUUAUUCUAAUCCGUUGUUUCUAAGAAAACUGGGCCCCAGAUGGGUGCAUGGAAGCCAGCAAAGGCUGCCGCUGCUUGCAUUGACCACCGAGUGCACGAGUGGCAGUCCGGUGAAUUCUGGGCAAGGACACGAAGUCUUCAUGUUGCCAAGAUGAGUAACGAUUAGCUGAUGCUGGGACAUUCAGAAACCACCACUUCUCAAAGGCUCCUUCCCUUCUCUCCAGCCUUAUGGGUUAUCUGACUGUUUAAAGUGUGGGGAGACACUAGAAAGCACAGUGAGCUUGUGAUGAUGUUAGGAAUGAAGGUCGUCCGAAGAAGAACAUAGUUUGGUCUCAGAGCUUCUACUUUGUGGUUUGGGUAUUGGCUGUGACUUCUGUGGUUCCUCCUCUAGAUUAGUGAAAGAUGGUUAACUUCACUUGUGUUUAUUCUUAGUUCUCACACUGUUACACUCUUUGGGGUUUUAAUGGCAGCCCUGGGCCCACACGCAAAGAUUAAGAUGAAAUAAAUGGUUUAGGAAAACAGUUUUCUAUGGACCAAGCUUGUCUAUACAUUGCUUUCUCUCCCUAAAAUGAUUCCUUUCAGAAGUGAGAUAUUACUUCACAAUUUACCUGUGAAAUACUUUAUUCCGACCCCAUUUGGGGUCAGUGGGAACCUUUCCAAGUGCAAAAGUAAGGAGGGGGCUGUGAUUCAUACCCACAAGAUCCCCCCCUACAGAGGAUGGGGCCUGGGUCAUCAGGAUGCGGGAUAAUCAAGUUGGACGCAGACUGUGCCCCAUAUAGGGCUCACAGUCUAGGUAGGAGGGAGAACAGAUAUUUCAUUCCUAUUUUGCAGAUGGGGUAACCGAAGCCCAAGUUCACACAUCAAGCAAGUGGCAGAGGUGGGAUUAGAGCCCAGGUUCCCUAAAUCCCAGGUCCGGGCUCUCUCCAUUAGGCAUGCUGCUUCUCCAUCAGGUGAUUCCUGGCUUGGGCUAGGAGACCAUGUUUCCAGGCCCAUUUCAGCGUGGGCUUUGGGGGAGAGGGAGCUAGGUAAAUAGGAUUCGUUACUUGAGCG
RNAcentral lists this long non-coding RNA (1417 nucleotides) under Ornithorhynchus anatinus (platypus). RNAcentral describes it as "lncRNA (ENSOANG00000044837.1)". The record is from RNAcentral. Lineage: Eukaryota; Metazoa; Chordata; Mammalia; Monotremata; Ornithorhynchidae.